Molecule: ribosomal RNA, 684 nt
Filed under: Anabaena sp. AM
Lineage: Bacteria; Bacillati; Cyanobacteriota; Cyanophyceae; Nostocales; Nostocaceae
Description: bacterial SSU rRNA
Rfam family: Bacterial small subunit ribosomal RNA
Source: RNAcentral
GUCGAACGGUGUCUUCGGACAUAGUGGCGGACGGGUGAGUAACGCGUGAGAAUCUAGCUUCAGGUCUGGGACAACCACUGGAAACGGUGGCUAAUACCGGAUGUGCCGGAAGGUGAAAGGCUUGCUGCCUGAAGAUGAGCUCGCGUCCGAUUAGCUAGUAGGUGGGGUAAGAGCCUACCUAGGCGACGAUCGGUAGCUGGUCUGAGAGGAUGACCAGCCACACUGGGACUGAGACACGGCCCAGACUCCUACGGGAGGCAGCAGUGGGGAAUUUUCCGCAAUGGGCGAAAGCCUGACGGAGCAAUACCGCGUGAGGGAGGAAGGCUCUUGGGUUGUAAACCUCUUUUCUCAGGGAAGAACACAAUGACGGUACCUGAGGAAUCAGCAUCGGCUAACUCCGUGCCAGCAGCCGCGGUAAUACGGAGGAUGCAAGCGUUAUCCGGAAUGAUUGGGCGUAAAGCGUCCGCAGGUGGCUGUGUAAGUCUGCUGUCAAAGAGCAAAGCUCAACUUUGUAAAGGCAGUGGAAACUACACGGCUAGAGUGCGUUCGGGGCAGAGGGAAUUCCUGGUGUAGCGGUGAAAUGCGUAGAGAUCAGGAAGAACACCGGUGGCGAAGGCGCUCUGCUAGGCCGCAACUGACACUGAGGGACGAAAGCUAGGGGAGCGAAUGGGAUUAGAUACCCCC